UCCCUCGCCCCCUCUCCGGAGC
Molecule: microRNA, 22 nt
Filed under: Ornithorhynchus anatinus (platypus)
Lineage: Eukaryota; Metazoa; Chordata; Mammalia; Monotremata; Ornithorhynchidae
Description: Oan-Mir-1381_5p (mature (guide))
Source: RNAcentral